This 495-nucleotide ribosomal RNA is filed under the name uncultured bacterium. Its description in RNAcentral is "partial 16S ribosomal RNA". It matches the Rfam family "Bacterial small subunit ribosomal RNA", at positions 28 to 507 of the family's 1533-position model. The record is from RNAcentral.
GACGAACGCUGGCGGCGUGCCUAAUACAUGCAAGUAGAACGCUGACGGUCGGGCUUCCUUGGCUGGAUGAUUUGCGAACGGGUGAGUAACGCGUACUUAACCUGCAUGGCACCGGGGGACAUCUGCUAGUAACGAUUGCUCAUACCGCAUAACAGUCGAUCUCGCGUGGUAUCUACUUGCAAGUUGCAAUUUCAUCGCUACCAGAUGGACUCACGUUGUAUUAGCUAGUUGGUGAGUUAACGGCUCACCUCGGCGACGCUAGAUAGCCGACCUGCGAGGGUGAGCGGACACGCUGGGACGGGGACACGGCCCAGACUCCUACGAGUGGCAGCAGGAGGGAAUCUUCAGGAAUGGACGGAAGGCUGACCAAGCAACGCCGCGUGAGAGAAGAAGGUAGUCGGGUCGUGAAGCUCUGUAGUACGAGAGGAACGAGAGUGAGAGUGGAAAGGGCACACUGUGACGGUACCUGAGCAGUAAGCGACGGCUAACUACGUG